AUCCUUUUGUAGCUCCUAAGCGUGGUAAUUGGAUUUUCACGCUCAUGUAUCAGAUGUGCUUCCCUCAAACCUUGUUACAUCAGCACAUUACUUGUCUGAUU
Small nucleolar RNA from Callithrix jacchus (white-tufted-ear marmoset), 101 nucleotides. NCBI's taxonomy places the organism in Eukaryota, Metazoa, Chordata, Mammalia, Primates, Cebidae. The record is from Ensembl.